GACGGGGGGGGCAAGUGUUCUUCGGAAUUACUGGGCGUAAAGGGCGCGUAGGCGGUACUUCAAGUCAGGCGUGAAAGCCCCGGGCUCAACCUGGGAACCGCGCUUGAGACUGGAGAACUAGAGUUCGGGAGAGGAUGGUGGAAUUCCCAGUGUAGAGGUGAAAUUCGUAGAUAUUGGGAAGAACACCGAUGGCGAAGGCAGCCAUCUGGACCGACACUGACGCUGAGGCGCGAAAGCGUGGGGAGCAAACAGG
This 253-nucleotide ribosomal RNA is filed under the name uncultured bacterium. Its description in RNAcentral is "partial 16S ribosomal RNA". It matches the Rfam family "Bacterial small subunit ribosomal RNA", at positions 524 to 776 of the family's 1533-position model. The record is from RNAcentral.